Non-coding RNA from Mycena epipterygia, 90 nucleotides. NCBI's taxonomy places the organism in Eukaryota, Fungi, Basidiomycota, Agaricomycetes, Agaricales, Mycenaceae. The record is from the annotation of a GenBank genome assembly.
GGCCUGGUAGCGGAUGGUCCGCGCCCGCUUUCAAUGUUUGAUUGGACUGCAUGCAGGCAGGAUCCGCUCGUUCGAAUCGAGCCCGGGCCA